UGAUCAUAAAGCAGCCCUGGCCUGGUCCAGUCAGUUGUGGCUAGUCAUAUGUGCUGGCGUCGAAGGUGAGUCUAAUGCAUUCAGACAUCUGGACCCUCUCCAGUGACCAAUUGGGUAGUGAGGUGAGGUUGGGAGCAAGUGUUCUGCUAUUAUAAGUAAUUUAGUAGGGAGUUUGACAAUUAGGGAGGCAUUUUAAGUUGUUU
Molecule: long non-coding RNA, 203 nt
Filed under: Vigna radiata
Lineage: Eukaryota; Viridiplantae; Streptophyta; Magnoliopsida; Fabales; Fabaceae
Description: long non-coding RNA (VRAD_LNC009138)
Source: RNAcentral